Cucurbita pepo subsp. pepo (vegetable marrow) is the source of this 408-nucleotide non-coding RNA. NCBI's taxonomy places the organism in Eukaryota, Viridiplantae, Streptophyta, Magnoliopsida, Cucurbitales, Cucurbitaceae. The record is from RefSeq and is a predicted model, not a curated record.
UCUGGACAGUGUUCAGAAGGUUUUAUGCACACACGGAUGCGACGUCGUGUUGAAUCUCUGAUUCAGGCACUUGAUCGUGCCAAGCCAGAUGUAAUCGAUACAAGUAAAAAAGCAAACAGCAGAUCCUUCAAACGGCUGGAUAGUGAUGGGAAUGCUGGGUGAUGAUGAAUUGUGGAAAUUUUGUAAUACCAGUUGCUGGGUGAGAACCAUUCAGUUUUCUCCAUAAUUGCUGGAAAGGUAAUGUGGUUAUUCUAUUUUAUUUCUUUCAUUUAUAGGGCCAUCCUUGCUUCUUUUUGGCUUUGACUGUGCUAUAUAUAAUUUAUACAUGUCAAAUCGAAGUCGCAAUAUUUAAUUUACCCUCCAAUGAUAACUUUAUUACCUUUAAUAAAUUUACUUAGUUUAAGUUUA